CAGCCGCCGCGGGAAAACGUAGGUGGCGAGCGUUGUCCGGAUUUAUUGGGCGUAAAGGGAGUGUAGGCGGUCUUUUAAGUCUGAUGUGAAAGCCCACGGCUCAACCGUGGAGGGUCAUUGGAAACUGGGAGACUUGAGUGCAGAAGAGGAGAGCGGAAUUCCAUGUGUAGCGGUGAAAUGCGUAGAUAUAUGGAGGAACACCAGUGGCGAAGGCGGCUCUCUGGUCUGCAACUGACGCUGAGGCUCGAAAGCGUGGGGAGCAAACAGGAUUAGAUACCCGAGUAGUCCCUGUCUCUUAUAC
This 301-nucleotide ribosomal RNA is filed under the name uncultured bacterium. Its description in RNAcentral is "partial 16S ribosomal RNA". It matches the Rfam family "Bacterial small subunit ribosomal RNA", at positions 509 to 807 of the family's 1533-position model. The record is from RNAcentral.